RNAcentral lists this long non-coding RNA (2964 nucleotides) under Medicago truncatula (barrel medic). RNAcentral describes it as "long non-coding RNA (MTRU_LNC002260)". Lineage: Eukaryota; Viridiplantae; Streptophyta; Magnoliopsida; Fabales; Fabaceae. The record is from RNAcentral.
UAACUUGCUUGUUUUUGGCCUCACACCAGAGACUCUUCUAUGGAAAGCACUUAACCAUAAUGGAAAAACAGUGUUCAUCGAUGAAAAUCGGUAUUAUGCUGCAUAUAUAGAAGAAAAACACCCUGAGAUUGAUGCUUAUGAUGUUCAAUAUACAACAAAAAGGAGUGAGAUGAAAGAGCUUAUAGCUUCAGCUAAAGAACAUGUAGCAAAUGAGUGCAAGCCAGUGCAGAAUCUUUUAUUCUCGGAUUGCAAACUUGGAAUUAAUGAUCUUCCAAACCAUGUGUAUGAAGUUGAUUGGGAUGUAAUAUUGGUUGACGGGCCUCGUGGGGAUUGGCCGGAAGCUCCCGGGAGAAUGUCGGCGAUAUUUACCGCCGGGGUGUUGGCUAGAAGUAAGAAAGGUGGUAACCCAAAGACUCAUGUGUUUUUGCAUGAUUUUUCUGGUGAAGUUGAACAAGUUUGUGGGAAUGAGUUUUUGUGUAAAGAGAAUUUGUUGGAAGCAAGUGAGAGUAUGGGGCAUUAUGUUUUGGAAAGGAUGAAUGAGAGCAGUGUUCAGUAUUGUAAAGGGUCUUCUUCAUCCACCUAAUGCAUCUAUGAAAUCAUAGAAAUCGCGAUGACACCAUGAUUUUGUCGAGGUCCAAAAUGUAGUUUUUAUCAAAAUCACGGUGGCUCGACGUGACUAUACAAAAGACAAUUCAAACAUGCAUUAAUUAGUUGCUCCUUCUCUUCCAUUUAAAUUUCUCAUAAAUGUCUUAGUCACACAAUUGAUUCAUCUACCAUCAGUUAUUUUACCCUUAUGGUGUUUUGGGUAUUUAUCAUCAUCCAUUUUACUCUCCAUUUAUGUUUUGUUUGUUUCUUGGUUUGCAGAUUGUAAAAAUUAAUAAUUCUUUUUGUUUUUCAUUCGAAGGCAAUGAAAAUUGUAAUUUGUUCAAUGAAUGAAUUCAACCUUUCAAAUUUCAAUUGACUGUGUUUUGUUUUCCAAGUUAAGAAAUUAAUUUCACAAUAUAAAAAGUUAAAAAUUAUUUUUUUCUCAGUAAAUAUUAUUCGCUUUGUGAAAUCGUGCCCUUAACGGAGAACACAUUUUAGCAUGACCAUUAAAAAAUGAAGAUUGCUUUUUAGGCCCCUCCAAUAUCUCUUUAGGCCCCCUAAAAAUACAAAAAUAACCUUUAUAAUACAUCCGGUAGUUACAUACCGGUAGUGCAUUUUAAAUUUUCACAUUUUACACCUUCGGUAUGUACAUACCGGAGGCACAUUUACAAAUUUUCACGUUUAUCGCAUUCGGUAGUUAUGUUCUGGAGGAACAUUCAUUUUGCGAUUUCUCAAUUACACAUCCGGUAUAUAUAUACCGUACUCCACCCACGUUGUUAUCUGUUUAAAAUGGUGCAGUUUUUUAAGAGUUAUUUUCUAAGCUUCAAUAUUGUUCCAUACCUUGCGUUUUUUGGCCAAUUUUUGUUGUGUUUUCAUCACAAUUAAUAGAACAAAUGGCGUCAAUCUUUACUCAAUUGCAAUCAUUUAGAAGGUAACCUUGCUUCUUCCUCUCUCGUAUUGUUUCUUCAUAAUUUUUUUAGAGUUCUGUCAUAUUCAAUGAAAAGUUUGAUCCUUUUAUUUCUGUAAAUUUUAUGCACCCUACCAAAAGUUUGUGAAUUUUCCAACAUAGCAGAUCAUGUACAUUUAAAUAACAUAAUGCGAUAAACGCGAAAAUUUGUAAAUGUGCCUCUGGUAUGUACAUACCGAAGGUGUAAAAUGUGAAAAUUUAAAAUGCACUACCGGUAUGUAACUACCGGAUGUAUUAUAAAGAUUAUUUUUGUAUUUUUAGGGGGCCUAAAGAGAUAUUGGGGGGCCUAAAAAGCAAUCUUCUUAAAAAAUAGCAUCAAAUCCACCACCACAACUAAAUGCAACAACUACACUUGAGUUUAAGGUUGCUUGGUUGUCCCUGAAAAAAAAAACAAAAAAGAAUUAAGGUGACUUGGAGUUGGAAGGACGUUGCUUAAAGUUCAACUGCUACGGCUUUGUUAAGUAAACUUGCCCCAUAGAUAAAAGAAAUUCAACCAAUCCAAUUUCUUUGGUUGCUUAAAAAUCAACAUCAUCUUAUCUUUCUCCGUGGGGGUUUAGCUUCUCUCCUCUUUUUUCUUUUUUAAUUCAAUCUCAUAAGGUUUGUUCGUAGGGCGUUAUUGUGUUCUAAUGACACAUGUUAAGAAACCUAAAAAUAACAAUUUUAUAUCGAUAAAAAAAAUAUUUUAAUUUUUAAAAGUUAAAUGAACAACUUUUGAGAUGAAUAUUUCUUUAUUAAAUUCAUUAAUGUAUACCCCAUGUCACCAAUUGUCUUCUUUUUGUAAGGUUAGUACUUUUUUAGCAACGAACCGCAUUUAUUUACAAUAUAGAGAGAAGAGCUCAUACUUCAUUUCCAAUCUAACUUGCUUAUAUAAAAUGUUAACAAGUGUCUUUAUGACAUUAAAACAUUGAAAAAUCAACUUCUUUUAUAUAAAUUUUAACAAUUAUUUCAUUUUUUAAUCCUUAAAAGUACCGUAAGAACACUUGUUAGGAUAACAUUUUGCUUGUGUGUCAUGCCUAAACAUAUAGCACCACCUCUAGAAGAGAAAAGGGAACAUGUGCGCCAUCUUUGGCCUUUUUUAUAGAAAAAAGUUUAGCAAAGUUGGAUUUCAAAAGCUCACCAGAGUUUAUGUAGGCUUAGUACCGUAAGGACACUUGUUAGGAUAACAUUUUGCUUGUGUGUCAUGCCUAAACAUAGCACCACCUCUAGAAGAGAAAAGGGAACAUAUGCGCCAUCUUUGGCCCUUUUUAUAGAAAAAAGUUUAGCAAAGUUGAAUUUCAAAAGCUCACCAGAGUUUAUGUAGGCUUCAAGGUUUAAUGAGUGCUUUACAGAUCAUCCAGUAAAGAAAUUCUGACGUCGACAACAAGAGUUGAACACAUGGAUGAGUGAACUUCUUACCAACUGAACGAACAUUC